GAAAAAAACUCGACCUUCGUCAACAGGAAGUAGAAUGAUUGCAAAGCCAAACAGUUUUGAAAAAUUACGCUACUAUGAUGCAGAGUCGAAAGUCAAUGAAAGAUAAUGUUUCAAUAGAAAAUUCUCAUACUGAUGACAUGCAAAGUUCUGAAUCUUAUGACACUGCCUUGAUUGGUCCGUAUGAUGACAGCUUCGCAAAUAUAAUAUGAUAUUCACAAAAAUGGGAAAAAUAGAUCGGAAUUCAAGAACGAUGAAAGAGAUUUAAACCAUCCUUCUAGAAGAAUGUCCGAACCAAUCGGAACUAACAAAUGGAGCCAUCAAGAUCUCGAAGACAAUUGACACCGAAAAGGGGUGAACAAUCCAACAAUCCAUCGCCGGGAUGUCUAGGACAACCCCCUGUUUAGACAAAGAAAUUCGAGGCCUGGUACGAGAGCACGAUACAUAGAAAAAAGUUUAGAUAUGCGCGAAUAUUGGAUCUAUUUAGAUGAAGAUACUCCUUUACACGUUUAUAUAUGGGAGACAAGAAAAACUUACUUGGACUCAAGAUUUGUGAGGAAGUUGCUCAAAAACUAUGGGGGACAGAGGGCCUUAAAAAAAGAUGUUUAGAUGCAAAAAGAGCAAAUAAAAGAAAAGAAAAUAGUCCAGAUCAACAGAGGAUACCUCUUAUUCACGAAAAAUAUGAAAGAGUAAAAGAUUGACUAUAUAUCAAACUUACGGAUGCUGGUGUAUCCGGCAAGCAGCGAAAUAAUAGAAUGCGAAAAGUUUGAAAUCCUUCAAGGUCAAAAAUAUAUUUUGUGCGCAGAAAACUAUGAUAAUUAUAAGAGGUUCGUUUUCUUACAGAUUAUAAAAAGGUAAUUUGUCGAAGCACAUGCGUCCUAGGGUCCUGUUGUCAGAAGCUUAAAGAUCCGCUUGUACGUAAUGUCCACUGUGAUGUUUCUUUGUUCGGAAUUUGACGUUUUUCAAUGUUGAGAAUAGUCUGGGCGAAUAAUCAAGUUCAAAAGUUAUUUAUCUUUACUUCACUUAUAAAAUUGAAAAAAGGCCGACUGACUAACCCAACAAAUUUUAGAAGAAAAACUUAAGCAUAAAUAAGAAAGAAUCCUGGAAAGGUUUCUUGCAAUUUGAAACAUGAGAAUGACAACUCGCUAAAGACCAUUUGGAGUUGACCCUUACAUUUGAUAAAUAUAAAGUUAAAGAUUAAUUGAUUUGGAAGUUAAAGGCACACCUAGAAAAUCAUUAAUUGGGCGCUAAUUAAAAAUUGUGUUUUAUUAUUAAUGUCUAAUUGAAGAGGUUCAUUUUCUCAGUGAGGCUGCGUCUGAGGAUCUUGUCCUUUGGGUUAAAAAUGUGUGAUAAUGCAAUUUUCAUUCAAUUUUAAUUUUGAAAAAACCAAUCUAUUCCUUGAAAGGUUUUUCACAAUUCUAUAUAAAAAUAGAUAUAUCUAUAAAAUUAUUCAAUGGUCCGUGAAUGUCGGUUUAGAUAUUUUGCAAUUGGAAGAUCGAAUCUGCAUUUUGUUUGUCUAACUUAAAGCAUUUAUAAUGCAUUCCUUUCGCUUUAUAUGUUACCCGGUAGAU
This is a long non-coding RNA of Belonocnema kinseyi, 1568 nucleotides long. RefSeq lists it as uncharacterized. Lineage: Eukaryota; Metazoa; Arthropoda; Insecta; Hymenoptera; Cynipidae. The record is from RefSeq and is a predicted model, not a curated record. The transcript is spliced from 4 exons.